CUUCCGUAGGUGAACCUGCGGAGGGAUCAUUACCGAGUUUACAACUCCCAAACCCCUGUGAACAUACCUAUACGUUGCCUCGGCGGAUCAGCCCGCGCCCCGUAAAAAGGGACGGCCCGCCCGAGGACCCCUAAACUCUGUUUUUAGUGGAACUUCUGAGUAAAACAAACAAAUAAAUCAAAACUUUCAACAACGGAUCUCUUGGUUCUGGCAUCGAUGAAGAACGCAGCAAAAUGCGAUAAGUAAUGUGAAUUGCAGAAUUCAGUGAAUCAUCGAAUCUUUGAACGCACAUUGCGCCCGCCAGUAUUCUGGCGGGCAUGCCUGUUCGAGCGUCAUUUCAACCCUCAAGCUCAGCUUGGUGUUGGGACUCGCGGUAACCCGCGUUCCCCAAAUCGAUUGGCGGUCACGUCGAGCUUCCAUAGCGUAGUAAUCAUACACCUCGUUACUGGUAAUCGUCGCGGCCACGCCGUAAAACCCCAACUUCUGAAUGUUGACCUCGGAUCAGGUAGGAAUACCCCACUGAACUUAAGCAUAUCAAUAAGCGGAGGAA
This 550-nucleotide ribosomal RNA is filed under the name Fusarium sp. P-DZ-1-2-2. RNAcentral describes it as "eukaryotic LSU rRNA". The stretch from base 182 to 335 matches the Rfam family "5.8S ribosomal RNA". The record is from RNAcentral. Lineage: Eukaryota; Fungi; Ascomycota; Sordariomycetes; Hypocreales; Nectriaceae.